UGAGUGGCAAACGGGUGAGUAACACGUGGGAACUUGCCUUUUAGACUGGGACAACCACUGGAAACGGUGGCUAAUACCGGAUACGCCCUGAGGGGGAAAGCAGCAAUGCGCUAAGAGAGAGGCCCGCGGCAGAUUAGGUAGUUGGUGGGGUAAAGGCCUACCAAGCCUGUGAUCUGUAGCUGGUUUGAGAGGAUGAUCAGCCACACUGGGACUGAGACACGGCCCAGACUCC
RNAcentral lists this ribosomal RNA (232 nucleotides) under uncultured bacterium. RNAcentral's name for it is "partial 16S ribosomal RNA". It matches the Rfam family "Bacterial small subunit ribosomal RNA", at positions 92 to 339 of the family's 1533-position model. The record is from RNAcentral.